GGUGCACGGGAGGGUGGGAGGAGACACAGGCAGGACAGGUGACCCCAACUGACCAAAGGAAUAUUCCAGACCAAACUAUAUCAGUAUGCAAAGUGAGGGGGGGAACGGGGGAAACAUUUGGGGUGAUGCCAUUUGUCUUCCCAAGAAUCUGUUACACCUGAUGGGGCCCUGCUCUCCUGGAGAUGUCCAAACACCUGCCUGCCCAUGGGAAGCAGUGAACUAAUUCCUUGUUUUGCUUUGCUAGUGUGAGCAGCUUUUGCUUUCCCUAUUAAACUGCCUUUAUCUCCACCCACGAGUUUCCAGCUUUUACCCUUCUGAUUCUCUCCCCAGAGAGAGUUGUUCCUGCUGGUGGGAAAUGAGGGAGUGCCUGUGUGGGGCUUGAUUGCUGCCUGGGGUUAAACCACGACCUGGGUUAGUGGGAGCCCUGCAACAGCUUUUCAAGAGAGAUUUGAAAAAUUUCCAAAAUGUUUUACAUGUAAAGUGAGUAAGUGACUGCAGAGGAGUGGUGGGAUUUUUGUAUUUUUCAAAAACCAUCCAACUGACAGAAUUCUUUGUGUGAUUAAGGACGACAUAUUCACUACCAUUUAUCUUCUUUUUUUUCCCCCACUGCUGCCUAUCUGUUGAUUUUGUCAAGGGCUUCUUUUUCUGGUUGAGGGAAAACUGAGGCUUUUUUAUUUCUUUUGUGUAUACACAUCUUGUCUUGAAAAACUGUGGUUGUUGUGAGCAUAUUUAAUGGCUCUUCCCAAAGACAUCUGGCAGGUUAGAAAGCAGAUCCAAUACUCUUAUGUUAUUAACUGCUGCAGAAGGUAGCACAGGGGAAGUGACAGCAAAAAGGGAAUUACUUUCCUAGUUACCAAUGAGCAGGGGCGAAACAUGGGAUUUAUAGAAAUCCAUUGACAAUUUCAGACUCGUUCUGCAACAGGAUUUAAGCUCUGCUCCUGCUCCUAACCCUCCCAAGGACAAAACUCUCGAGAUAACUUUUCACAUGAUCAUGAUGAACCGUAUGCUUUGCCACAUUACAGAAAUAGUUUUUUUUGGUUAAUGCUGCAUUUGCAAACUCCCGAGGAAAAGCUGUGGUGCACACAGGGUGUCAAGGGCUGCAGGAACUAAUAUUAGUGCCUGCUGUGACUUAGUCUUGCUGCUCAGGUGUUUUUGCGGCUCCAUGGGUAACAUCUGUCUGAGGGAGUGACACCAGACUGCCAUUGGCUUCCACUGCACCCUGGUUUUGAGAAUAGUAAUGAGAGCAACCAAGGUAAGAUGGGUGUGUCUGCCUGUGGAUGCACCAUGCACCUUCAUGCUGGCAGAAAACAGAGUGAAAACAUGAUCCAACUUACAAGCUGACUGUGCAAGAGCAAGGUGAGAGCCCGGGGCAGGGUCAGUGCCUGUCUGGAUGCAGGUGAGCUUUCCCAGCCCUGCAGCUCCAGCUGCCCUCUCCCUUGCAGCCCCUGUCGGGCCGGGCAGCAGCGCAGCACACGCGCAGUGCAACGUGAAGGCACUGAGAUGAUGAGCAGUGGAGAGCGUUUGUACCAGCCACAGAGGGGUGCAGGUGCUUGGCAGCAGCAGCACUUUGAUCCUGUUCACACCAGCACGCCUCAAUUCUCACAUCCAGUGCUCUCCGUGGAGACACUCAGACGUGUUUUGCUCAAAUGAAGGCACUGCACCAUCUGAAUCAGUGUUUUUGUGCUACAGCAGCCCCAGUGUUUGGUAAGGAUCAGGGCAGAGAACACACGUUGACUUUAACUGCGGUGGGAAGCGUUCUCUGCAGGCUCCAGCAGCUUUCUGGAGCUGCCUCACAAACUUACCCACUUCCUUGUCACUGGAACCACAGUUCAGUCCUGUGUUUCUAACCCUUGCCUGGCUAUUGUAGGACGCUGAACUGGGUACUCAGCAGUACCUCUAACCUUAAGGUAACCCUCAAGAUUCAAGCAUACACUUUAUCCAGAAACUGUAGGAAGGCUACAAGGGAAAAACCUCCUUUAUUUCAACAUUUUAAUGAACUAUAAUAGUUUUUCUACAUGGACAAACUUUUAUUUUUACUGGCAGAAGCAUCUUGGAAGUUCACAACUCCAAACACAGAUUUAAGAAGAAACAUCCAAACUUUUAAUCUCUAAAUCUUGUUUAAGUGGACUUCAUCAUUCCUGUUUCCUUGAAAGAGGUUAGUGGCUUGGGGCAGUAUUUUAUC
This is a long non-coding RNA of Passer domesticus (house sparrow), 2182 nucleotides long. RefSeq lists it as uncharacterized. The record is from RefSeq and is a predicted model, not a curated record. The transcript has 2 exons. NCBI's taxonomy places the organism in Eukaryota, Metazoa, Chordata, Aves, Passeriformes, Passeridae.